This 456-nucleotide ribosomal RNA is filed under the name uncultured bacterium. Its description in RNAcentral is "bacterial SSU rRNA". It matches the Rfam family "Bacterial small subunit ribosomal RNA", at positions 340 to 786 of the family's 1533-position model. The record is from RNAcentral.
UACGGAAGGCAGCAGUGGGGAAUAUUGCACAAUGGGCGAAAGCCUGAUGCAGCUAUGCCGCGUGUAUGAAGAAGGCCUUAGGGUUGUAAAGUACUUUCAUCGGGGAGGAAAAAACAAAACUAAUAAUUUUAUUUCUUGACGUUACCCGAAAAAGAAGCACCGGCUAACUCCGUGCCAGCAGCCGCGGUAAUACGGAGGGUGCUAGCGUUAAUCAGAAUUACUGGGCGUAAAGAGCACGUAGGUGGCUUUUUUAAGUCAGAUGUGAAAUCCCUGGGCUUAACCUGGAACUGCAUUUUGAAACUGAAAUACUAGAGUAUCGUAGAGGGAGGUAGAAUUCUAGGUGUAGCGGUGAAAUGCGUAGAUAUCUGGAGGAAUACCUGUGGCGAAAGCGGGCCUCCUAAACGAAUACUGACACUGAGGUGCGAAAGCGUGGGGAGCAAACAGGGAUUAGAUACC